GAUGAACGCUGGCGGCGUGCCUAAUACAUGCAAGUCGAGCGAACAGACGAGGAGCUUGCUCCUCUGACGUUAGCGGCGGACGGGUGAGUAACACGUGGAUAACCUACCUAUAAGACUGGGAUAACUUCGGGAAACCGGAGCUAAUACCGGAUAAUAUAUUGAACCGCAUGGUUCAAUAGUGAAAGACGGUUUUGCUGUCACUUAUAGAUGGAUCCGCGCCGCAUUAGCUAGUUGGUAAGGUAACGGCUUAUCAAGGCGACGAUGCGUAGCCGACCUGAGAGGGUGAUCGGCCACACUGGAACUGAGACACGGUCCAGACUCCUACGGGAGGCAGCAGUAGGGAAUCUUCCGCAAUGGGCGAAAGCCUGACGGAGCAACGCCGCGUGAGUGAUGAAGGUCUUUGGAUCGUAAAACUCUGUUAUUAGGGAAGAACAAAUGUGUAAGUAACUAUGCACGUCUUGACGGUACCUAAUCAGAAAGCCACGGCUAACUACGUG
RNAcentral lists this ribosomal RNA (497 nucleotides) under uncultured bacterium. Its description in RNAcentral is "partial 16S ribosomal RNA". It matches the Rfam family "Bacterial small subunit ribosomal RNA", at positions 28 to 507 of the family's 1533-position model. The record is from RNAcentral.